RNA transcript from Fragaria vesca subsp. vesca, 1899 nucleotides. It is a transcript of the gene named pentatricopeptide repeat-containing protein At3g04130, mitochondrial-like, with no coding region annotated. NCBI's taxonomy places the organism in Eukaryota, Viridiplantae, Streptophyta, Magnoliopsida, Rosales, Rosaceae. The record is from RefSeq and is a predicted model, not a curated record. The transcript has 3 exons.
GGAGUAACAAGACCGACUCUACGAUCGUCGCCAAGCUUGUCUCCGCCGCGACGUUCCUCGCCGGCUUCUCCCUAACUCCGUGACCGGUGGCUCAAGUGUUUUUCAUCCAAGUUAAGUCAGGAACUAGAGUCGAUGUUCAUGAUCUUCCGUGUUCAGAAAUGCUUUCAAAGGGUCUGCUUCCUAGGCAGUUCUUCAAAUUCUUCUGCCUUUUUGCAUACUUGCUCAUCUGCUGUGUCUCCAGUGGGGUCGUCACAAUUGGAACGCCCAACAAGACUAUCAGACCUUGACAUUAUCAUAACUAGAGUUCCUGUUGGAAAUAGUGAUGAUCAAGUACUAUUGUCUCUUCAAAAUGAUCAAGCAUGUAACAGCAUUCAGCUCACGCAUGUCCUUGUUCAUCAAUUGCUUCAUCGAUUUAAGAAUGAUUGGAAGUCGGCAUUGGGUGUAUUCAGAUGGGCUGAGUCACGGCCUGGCUAUGAACUCCCCUCAGAUGCGUAUGAUAUGAUCAUCGACAUUCUAGGAAAAAUGAGGCAGAUGGAUCAGACUAUGGAUUUGUUAGAGAGAAUGCAUCAGGAUCGUCUCGUAACGCUCAAAACUGUAGGUAAGGUUAUGAGAAGAUUUGCUGGUGCAGGGAAAUGGGAGGAUGCCGUGAGGAUAUUUGAUGGGUUAGGAAGAUUUGGAUUAGAUAAGAACACCGAAUCAAUGAACUUGUUGCUUGACACACUCUGCAAAGAGAAAAAAGUUGAGGUCGCACGCGAUAUCUUUUUAGAACUAAAAUCACAUAUCUCACCAAAUGCUCAUACGUUUAAUAUUUUCAUCCACGGCUGGUGCAAGGUCAAUCGCGUUGAUGAGGCACAUUGGACAAUCCAAGAAAUGAAGGGUCAUGGCUGUCGCCCUUGUGCCAUCAGCUACUCAACCAUUACCCUCUUUUAUUGCCACAAAUACAACUUUGGAAAGGUCUAUGAACUGUUUGAUGAAAUGGAAGCUCAAGGCUGCCCUCCAAAUGUUGUCACUUUCACUACUGUCAUGUGUUAUCUUACAAACUCUGGGGAAUUCGAGGAAGCUAUGCAAUUAUAUGAGAGAAUGAAAUCAGCUGGAUGUAAGCCUGACACCCUGUUCUACAACUCACUUGAUCCACACACUAGGAAGAGCUGGACGAGUGACCUGAAGCUAUUCGUGUUUUCGAGGUUGAGAUGCCUGAGAAUGAGGUUCCUCAUAAUACAUCAACUUACAAUACGUUGAUUGCCAUGUUUUGCAAUCAUGCUCAAGAGGAAGAAGCCUUGAAAAUCCUCCAGAAGAUGGAAAGGUCUGGGCUCUGUAAGCCUGAUGUUCAGACAUACUAUCCGUUGCUUAAAAUGUGCUUCAAAACUGGCAAAACAGACAAUUUUUGAAUAAGUUGGUGAAUGGCAUGGUCAAUGGACAUCAUCUCAGUUUUGAUCUCUCAACAUAUACAUUACUAAUUCACGGUCUAUGCAGAGCAGGUAAAUGUGAGUGGGCUUAUAGUCUUUUCGAGGAGAUGAUUGCUCAAGAUAUGAAGCCUAGAUAUAGGACUUGUCGUUUACUUUGGGAUGAAGUUAAACUGAAGAAUAUGUCUGCAGCUGCUGACAGCAUUGAAGAUUUCAUGAAGAAGCUAUGACUACAUGUGAAACUGUGAAAGCUAUGUCACUCUACUUGAACAGUUGUUAUUAUAACAUUAUUCCAGUAAUGACCUCGCAGCUAUAUUUCGAGAAAUACCUUCUAAACCUGCAUUUGAUUCUCCGAUAGCUAACAGCCGCAUCAACUGAAAACCAGGGUUUUGCUUCUUCAGAAGUAGUUGCUUCUUAGAAUUGACUAAUGAUGAGCUCCACAAUUAUCCCUUAUAUGAUUGGGACUUUCACACAAACCAUAUCAAGAUGCCAACAG